GAUGAACGCUGGCGGCGUGCCUAAUACAUGCAAGUCGAGCGAACAGACGAGGAGCUUGCUCCUCUGACGUUAGCGGCGGACGGGUGAGUCACACGUGGAUAACCUACCUAUCAGACUGGGAUAACUUCGGGAAACCGGAGCUAAUACCGGAUAAUAUAUUGCACCGCAUUGUUCCAUCGUGAAAGACGGUUUUGCUGUCACUUAUAGAUGGACACGCGCCGCAUUAGCUAGUUGGUAAGGUAACGGCUUACCCAGGCAACGAUGCGUAGCCGACCUGAGAGGGUGAUCCGCCACACUGGAACUGAGACACGGUCCAGACUCCUACGGGAGGCAGCAGUAGGGAAUCUUCCGCAAUGGGCGAAAGCCUGACGGAGCAACGCCGCGGGAGGGAUGAAGGUCUUCGGAUCGGAAAAUUCUGUUAGUAGGGAAGAACAAAAGUGUAAGUAACUAUGCACGUAUUGACGGUACCUAAACAGAAAGCCACGGCUAACUACGUG
This 497-nucleotide ribosomal RNA is filed under the name uncultured bacterium. RNAcentral's name for it is "partial 16S ribosomal RNA". It matches the Rfam family "Bacterial small subunit ribosomal RNA", at positions 28 to 507 of the family's 1533-position model. The record is from RNAcentral.